RNA transcript from Dinoponera quadriceps, 589 nucleotides. It is a transcript of the gene named membralin-like, with no coding region annotated. The record is from RefSeq and is a predicted model, not a curated record. Lineage: Eukaryota; Metazoa; Arthropoda; Insecta; Hymenoptera; Formicidae. The transcript is spliced from 2 exons.
AUUUAGUCUCACACUUACUACUGUAGUUAUAUUCUUCAUUUAGACUUUUAGGUAUUUAAAUUAGUAACAAAAUGAUAUAUUUUAGCCAUCUGAUGAAGAGUUAUCUAUUGCACAUACGGAGGGUAAUUCCACGGAAACACCUGAUGUGAAUCGCUCAAGUGAAGAUAAUGUUAUACAGUCGUUAAAAAAUCGUGCAUUAGAUGCUGAUAAAACGGCUAGAGCAGAUAAAUUACUCCAACAAAAUAAAUUAUAUAUACUUUAAAAUGGUUUAAAUGUAGCCAAGGAAAACAAUGAUGGAUACAUCGUGGAAUAUUCAUUAGAAUACAAUUUCUUGCGAUUAUCGCCUGCAGCUCGGCAAAGAUUGAACAUCCCAGUUAAGAUCGUUACUUUGGAUUCAUUAAACGACAAACGUUUAGGCGAUGCUUUUUUAAGAUUGAUCCUAAAUGAAUUUCUGGGCUAUGACGAUUUGUUAAUGGCAAGCAUCAAAACGUUAAUGGAAUACGAAGAUAACAAAGGUUUCCUACGGUGACUUUUUUUUAAAUAUGAAGUAACGUUUAUCAAUAGAAACGUUUUAAGACAUAUUAAUCUU